CCUACGGGGGGCUGCAGUCGAGAAUCUUCGGCAAUGGGGGAAACCCUGACCGAGCGACGCCGCGUGCGGGAUGAAGGCCCUCGGGUUGUAAACCGCUGUCGUAAGGGAACAAAUCCAUGGGGGUACUCCCCUGUGGUUGAGUGAUCUUAGGAGGAAGGACGGGCUAAGUUCGUGCCAGCAGCCGCGGUAAGACGAACCGUCCGAACGUUAUUCGGUAUCACUGGGCUUAAAGAGUUCGUAGGCGGCCCGGCAGGUGAGGUGUGAAAUCCCUCGGC
RNAcentral lists this ribosomal RNA (275 nucleotides) under uncultured bacterium. Its description in RNAcentral is "partial 16S ribosomal RNA". It matches the Rfam family "Bacterial small subunit ribosomal RNA", at positions 338 to 608 of the family's 1533-position model. The record is from RNAcentral.